Molecule: ribosomal RNA, 429 nt
Filed under: uncultured marine cyanobacterium
Lineage: Bacteria; Bacillati; Cyanobacteriota
Description: bacterial SSU rRNA
Rfam family: Bacterial small subunit ribosomal RNA
Source: RNAcentral
GGGAGUGGCAAGCGUUAUCCGGAAUUAUUGGGCGUAAAGCGUCCGCAGGCGGCCCUUCAAGUCUGCUGUUAAAAAGUGGAGCUUAACUCCAUCAUGGCAGUGGAAACUGUUGGGCUUGAGUGUGGUAGGGGCAGAGGGAAUUCCCGGUGUAGCGGUGAAAUGCGUAGAUAUCGGGAAGAACACCAGUGGCGAAGGCGCUCUGCUGGGCCAUCACUGACGCUCAUGGACGAAAGCCAGGGGAGCGAAAGGGAUUAGAUACCCCUGUAGUCCUGGCCGUAAACGAUGAACACUAGGUGUCGGGGGAAUCGACCCCCUCGGUGUCGUUAGCCAACGCGUUAAGUGUUCCGCCUGGGGAGUACGCACGCAAGUGUGAAACUCAAAGGAAUUGACGGGGGCCCGCACAACCGUGGAGUAUUUGGUUUAAUUCCA